This 6142-nucleotide long non-coding RNA is filed under the name Nicotiana benthamiana. RNAcentral's name for it is "long non-coding RNA (NBEN_LNC012025)". Lineage: Eukaryota; Viridiplantae; Streptophyta; Magnoliopsida; Solanales; Solanaceae. The record is from RNAcentral.
CUCCGUCCACUCCAAACAACCACAAGUCGUCCAGCCCCCACGCUUAAACCAGCGAAGCAUCCCCAAACGACCACCAAUGCGUCACCCUCACUCCAAACGACCUCUACGUCGUUAACUUCCAUAGCCUCUGCUUCCGUUCACGUCCAACGUUAACGUCCAAAAACCAAAUACACCUCUGCCAAGUUUAUAGUUCUUCUCAUUGAUUUCGUUUUCGAUUUUUGCUUUCAAACUCAAUGAGUUCAUUUGAGUUUGAAAGUCAUUUUGUGCUCGGGUUGAUUUGAGGUCGCCGAUCGUGGUUCCUGCAUUGUGAUUUCAUUUUCCGGUUAGAUCUCUGUCGCAAACGUGGUUGCAUCGACGAGAAAGGUAAUAACAAACUGUGUAUGAUUUUAGGCUACUACUUGUACUUAUCCAUGGCAUGUGAAUAGCAACUGAUUGUUUUUCAAUAUUGAUAUGUGACAGUGUGUCUAUUUUUGUGUAUGCUUGGCUUAUUCUAGCACUACAACAUUUUUUAGAGUAUUUCGUGCUAAUCUCAAUUCCAGAAUGUGGAUGAGACAGUGGAGGAACAACAACAUCACUAGUUUAAUUAGUGAAAAUCUUGAAGUGAUGUUGGUCUUUGUCAUACCUGUGAGUUGCCUUCAUGUUUCAUUAAUCUUUAAAGUUAUUGAUAAAUUUUGGUGGGUUUGAAUCCGUGUUUGGUUUAAGAUUCAUUUCUGUCCGAUUUUAUUAAUAUUUAAAGUUAUUGAUAAAUUUCGGUGGUUUGAAUCCGUGUUUGGUAUAAGUUUCAUUUCUGUCCGAUUUUGUUUGAUAUUCUCGGAUCUAAAAUCGUUAUAUGUUUGAUUUUUUUCUUGUUUGUUGUUUAUCAUUUCAUGAUUAUUUUUUCAGUUUGUUUUUAUUCAUUUAAAAGAAUUUAGUACUAAUAUAGAAGUUUGUUAGUUUAAUAACUUGAAUCCUUCAUCUUGGUAGUAAUAUUGUUAGAUUUAGUUUGAGGUUCAAUUGAUUAUUGAAUUUAGUGAUGUGAAUCUACUUGUUUGUUUUGUUAAAAUAGUUUCUGAUGUGAAUCUGACCAUGUUAUCUUAAUUUUGUUGAUUUAAAAUUAGUUUCAUGUGUUUAAUUAAUAAAUUGUUAGGCUUGAAUUGGUUAUAGCUGAUAGAUUUUGUUACAGAUUGAAAGGGAUAGGGGCAUGGUAGUAAUUUUCAGUUAUUUCGGGGGGUAUUUUUGGAAUUGAAAAUAUAAAGAAUUGUUUAAAAAAUAAUGGGGAAUAUAAUUAUGUAAAGUAAAAAGAGUGUGGGGAGCAUAAUGAUGUAAAAUAAAAGAGUGAGGACUAUGGGGUCUAUGUUUGACUACUUUUUGCUUUAAUCAUAAAAGUUAGGAAAUAAAAGUAAAAGGAGAGGAAUAAUAAUUAAAGGGUAGAAGAAAGGAGUCUUGGUGGGAUUAUAAAAUAGAAGUCAUUUGUCACUUAGAGGGGGAGAACAAUCUGUUAAAAAAAUUUCAGGGAGAGGAAUUUUGGAGAUAAAAAUUUGAGAACUUAAGAAUUCAGUCUCUGAGAAUUAAGAACAAAAAGGGAGGUCUUUUCUUUACUGCUGAAUAUCAGAACUAGUACUGUUACUACUUAACUAGUUAUUGCUGAAUUUUUUGCUUGUUUUUUUUUUAAAAAUCUAUUCCUGGGUUCCUCCUGCACUGUUUUGUUACUGGUUUACUACUUUGGUUGCUGAACCUGUUGUUGCUGUAUUGUGCUACUGCUGCACUACUGACUUCUUCCUCUUCUUUGCUUUCCAAAUACCAGGUACACGACUGUAACACUGGCUAUUGUAAGCUGAAAAGUGUAGAAGCAUGAAUACAUAUAAAAAUGGAAGUUUGAAGUUUUGAUUUAACUUUUCUUAUUUAUAUGAUUUUAUUUUAGAACAUUUCUUAUACUACUUUUAUGUAGAUUUCUGCCAGCUUUGUGUAGUUGUACCCUCUGUGUGCUGGCAUGAUUUGAAGCAGCUAGUUGAGACUGAUACCAGAUAUAGAUUUAGAAUCCGGUCUUUUGUAAACAGAUAAAAGGUGAAAAUUCUGGCUUGAAGGCUUGUUGGUAUUGCUAGAAAGGCUAAAUUUCGGUUGAGAUGGUGUCGUCAGGCUUAAGUGGAUUGGGACGACAUGGCAUCACUCGUGGGUGUAUGUUGGAAGUGAGCACUUAGUGACGUAAGGACUUCGAGGCAAAUCUUAGCACGCUCGAGGAUGAAUGUUGGUUUUAAGAGGGGAGGAAAUAACGACUCGACUGGUUGUUUUGGAAAAUUAAGCUCAAUUCAGCUGCAAAAGGUUUGGAACAGCUUUGGAAUAUGAGUAUCGACUUGCGCGUAGGGUGGAAUUUGGUUUUCGGAUGGUUUAGAGUCAAAUUGGAAGAAGGAAUCUAGUUUUGGGAAUUUAGAGCGGUGAAAAGUUGACCGGAAUUGGACUUGUGAGUAAAUGACCUCAAAUGAGUCGUGAAUGAUCCCAACAGCUUUGUAUGGUGAUUUUGGACUUAGGCGCACGUCUAGGUUUAGUUUUGGAAGUCCGUAGAGUGAACUGAGGCCUUUCGGCGAAAGUUGAAGUUGGAAAAUGAAGAAGUUUGACCCACAUUUGACUUUUGUGAUAUCGGGGUCGGAAUGCGAUUCCGAGAGUUAGAGAAGCUCCGUUAUGUUAUUUGGGACUUGUCCGCAAAAUUUGGCAUCAUUCCAAGUUGAAUUGAUAUGUUUCGGCAUGAAAUUCAAUAUUUGAAGAUCUGAAAGUUCAUAAGCUUGAAUUUUGGUUAGUUUGUCGCUUCGAUGUUGUUUUAUGUGAUUUUAAAUUUCGAGCCAGUCCGUGUUAGGUUAUAUAAAUUGUGUGUGUGAUUAGAAGGGGUUCUGGGAGCCUCGGGUGUUUUUUUGAUGGGCUACGAAUCAUUUUCUUCCAUUUUUGAACCGCUCAAAUUGUUGGUUCUGAUAUCCUUCUAUGCGAUCGCGAAGCUUCUCCCCCUAUCGCGAUGCCUUGCUGAAGACCACCUCAAAAUUUCUCUUCCGCAUUCACAGUCGUCUCCCGCGUCACGAAGCUUUGUGUAUUUCUUCAUCGCGUUCGCAUUAAGCCUUCCGCGAUCGUGAAGGGCUAUUUUCCUUUACUUCGCGUUCGUAUCUGUUAUCCCGCAUUCACAUAGUGGAAAUUAGGACUUGGGGCAGCUGACACCUUUCCGCUUCGUAUUCGCAUGAGCUCCUACGUGAUUGCAUAAGCCACCAUCUCAUUUCCCUUCGGAUUCGCAUCCCUCUUCACGUGAACGCGAUGUACAUUUCUGGGCCUUCUCGAAUUUCCUCUACGCGAUCGCGACCAUUGCUCAGCGAUCGCGAUGAACAAAUCACUGGGCAUAUACAUUAAAUCCCAAACUCGAGGGUUUCACCAUCUUUAUCACAUUUUGACUUCUAGAGCUUGGUUCUUGGCAAUUUUUGAAGGGAUUUUCGCUUGGGUAAGUGCGUCUCAGUCGAUUUAGACCAAUUUCCAUGAAUCUCCCCUUAAUUGCAUCCUUUAGUUUCAUAUUUUGAAUUAAAAAUGGGUAAAACUUCAUAGACCAAAUUAUUGCGUUUUGAGGGGGUGUUUGACCUCCGAUUUGAGAAAUUUUUAUAUGAUUAGACUCGUAAGAGUACGAGGGUUUUGAAAAUAUUAAAUUCAUCCAAUUCCGAGACGUUGGCUUGAGGGGUAGUUUGGUCAUUUUGCCUAAUUUCACGUUUUAGCUUUGACUUAAAUAGUAGAAUCCGUUGCCUGAGAUUUUAUUUACAACGUGCAAUUGAAUUGAAUAGAUUUGGGCAAUUUGGAGUCGAGUACUCGUGGCAAGAACGUGGUUGCUAGUUGAGUUUAGACUGUUCGAGGUAAGUAUCUUGCCUAACCUUGUAUGGGGACUUCCCCUUAGGAUUUGAGUCAUCUUAGUUAAUCGUAUUCCUUGUAGGCAAAGUGAAGAGUGCAUGCUCGGAUUUAUUUGUGGAAAUUUGUCCCUUUUAGGCCCUUAGAUCCUUGUAAUCAUCGAAAAUGAAGUUGUUCUCGAUACGAUUGAGUUUUGUUAUUAGUUUCACCUCUACAUGUCUUACUGGGAAUUAGUUUGCGAUUUUUGGUUUAUUAUUGUUGCCUAAUUGACUUUUACUUGUUUAACUGUAGACAUUUACCCUUCUAUAGUCAAGAAAGCAUUAUAUCUAUCUCUCGUGUAAUUAGUUGGUCUUAAUUGGAAAGAAGUUAAAUAUCCUAAGUUUAGUUGACAUUUCCUUAAUUGUAAUUAUUUGAUUCAUGUUAAUUUCCUUGUUGUUGAACUGAGUAUUAUGGAAUCGUUGUUUCGUAUUAUUUCUCCCUUGUUGAUUUGUACUUAUUGUGCUUAGUAUUUUCUCUGUUAUGGUUAUUCCUUAUGAGUCAGUUGUAAUGUCUUUUGGUAAACGGAAAUACCUGAGUUAAUUCUCUUGCUUUGUUCCUAUAUAUAUUGUCAUUUGUUGUGUUGUACUUGAGACUGUGAUGCACGGGGUUUCUGCCGUACGGUUGUUGAUACUGUGAUGCAUGAAGUUUCUGUCGUGCAGCUAUUGGUGCUGUGAUGCACGAGGUCUCUGCCGUGCGAUUGUUGUUGAAUGGUUGCACGAGGUCUUUACCAUGCUAUUGUUGCUAUUGAUGUUUUGCACAUUCGGCGUAAUAAGGCGAGAUAUGUUAUAUGCUUAUAAGUGGGUUGCACAUGUGGCGAAAUAAGGUGGGAACAUUGUGAUGCACGUGUGGCAAAAUAUGGCAGUGCUUAUUAUAUAUUAUUUGCACACGCGGUGAAAUAAGGUAGGCUAUGUCAGGGGUUGAUUGUAAAGAAUUGUGAUGGCCUGAGGAGGCAUUCCUAUUUGUUUAAUAUUGUGAUUGUGGUUGCUUAUCUAUAUGAGCUUUACAGCUUGCAAGUUCUGAGGAAACAUCGUACGUGCGGUCCGUUCUCCUUUUCAUGUUUAUUAGUUGGUAUAAUUCUUGUUAAAAACACUUGCACAAGCAUACACAUAGUUUUGGAACCCCAUUAGAGGUGAAUUCCUUCCAAUUUUGCUAAGGGUGGAAAUGCACCCUUGUUCAUCCAUUAUACAUGUGAGGGUGACCCUAGUUAGCCAGUUAGUUGUCAGCAUGACCGUGAGAUUGAUGGGGCAUAGGAUGCCAAGUGUUAGAUUUCCGAUGCUGGAUUUUCGUGAGUUGUAGUUGUCCGAGAUCUUUGGUAAAAUUGUGGAAGCAGUUGAAUAGGACCUUAUGUGAAUAUCAUCGUGGGGUAUGAGUUAUUGACUUGUUUUUUUCCCCUUGUUGUGUUGUGACCUUAGGAUAUGGAUUGUGAUUUUGCCGUUAUUACAUAUCAUCAUUUAUUAAUUCUCGUUGUUACUUGUUGUUCUUUUUCCUUAUUGUGAAUUGUAGCAUUAUUGGUCAUUUCAUGCAGUCUUUACCUAUUUAUAUAUCAUUUCCGUGAUUCCUAUGAUUAUAUUGUUUAUUUGACCGGUUGGUGUCUUGACUGUUCCUUGUCACUACUCCACCGAGGUUAGUCUUGUACUUACUAGGUACCGCCGUGAUGUGCUCAUGCUACUCUUCUGCACAUUUUUGUUGUGCAGAUACAUGUACUCCCACUUAGUUCUAUUAGCCUUGGAAGGAGGCGUAUCGGUAGAGACUUCGAGGUAUAUCUGCUACGUCCGCAGACCGAGGAGGUCCCUUUCUGGCUUUCUGAAAUAAGUAUAGCUCCUUUAGUUUUCCUUUGUAUAGACAUUCUUGAAUGAGAGCCUUUUAUGUAUCCCUUAGCUUGUGAUUUGUGAGAUUACGGGUUUUGAGAAUUUUUGUUAGCUUCGAAAGUUGUUAUUGUAUGUGCCGAGCGGCACCUUAAAUACAUGUUUAUUUUACUAUAUUAGUUUUAAUCAUUCUUUUCCAAUUUAUGGUUAUCUUCCGCAUUGUUAGGGUUACCUAGUCGUAGGGAUUAGGUGUCAUCACGAGAUGUUGACGAAGGGCGAACUGGGGUCGUGACAACUAGAAACCCUGGAGGAGUCACACACUGGUAAAGAAUAUGGAAACUUUUCAUUGCAAGAUGGUUGUCUACUAUUCAAUAUCUUUUGAAGGCCAAUUUACGAAGUAUAUGAUACCUCUUAUUUCUUUGGUGCUAAGAUGUUGAAGGAAUAGCCUGUAGAGG